GGGCCCGCACAAGUGGUGGAGCAUGUGGUUUAAUUCGAAGAUACGCGCAGAACCUUACCAACACUUGACAUGUUCGUCGCGACUCUAAGAGAUUAGAGUUUUCGGUUCGGCCGGACGAAACACAGGUGCUGCAUGGCUGUCGUCAGCUCGUGUCGUGAGAUGUUGGGUUAAGUCCCGCAACGAGCGCAACCCUCACUUUUAGUUGCCAUCAUUAAGUUGGGCACUCUGAAAGAACUGCCAGUGAUAAGCUGGAGGAAGGUGGGGAUGACGUCAAGUCCUCAUGGCCCUUACGUGUUGGGCUACACACGUGCUACAAUGGUAUCUACAACAGGAAGCAAGACUGCGAAGUUAAGCAAAUCCCUAAAAGAUACCUCAGUUCGGAUCGGGGUCUGCAACUCGGCCCCGUGAAGCUGGAAUC
This 418-nucleotide ribosomal RNA is filed under the name uncultured bacterium. RNAcentral describes it as "bacterial SSU rRNA". It matches the Rfam family "Bacterial small subunit ribosomal RNA", at positions 917 to 1333 of the family's 1533-position model. The record is from RNAcentral.